GUGUGCCUACGGGGGGCAGCAGUGGGGGAUAUUGCACAAUGGGGGGAACCCUAAUGCAGCGACGCCGCGUGGGUGAAGAAGCGCCUCGGCGCGUAAAGCCCUGUCAGCAGGGAAGAAAAUGACGGUACCUGAAGAAGAAGCCCCGGCUAACUACGUGCCAGCAGCCGCGGUAAUACGUAGGGGGCAAGCGUUAUCCGGAUUUACUGGGUGUAAAGGGGGCGUAGACGGUGCUGCAAGCCAGAUGU
RNAcentral lists this ribosomal RNA (245 nucleotides) under uncultured bacterium. RNAcentral's name for it is "partial 16S ribosomal RNA". It matches the Rfam family "Bacterial small subunit ribosomal RNA", at positions 333 to 595 of the family's 1533-position model. The record is from RNAcentral.